Molecule: ribosomal RNA, 85 nt
Filed under: Chitinophaga niastensis
Lineage: Bacteria; Pseudomonadati; Bacteroidota; Chitinophagia; Chitinophagales; Chitinophagaceae
Source: RNAcentral
CUCUUCCCAUUCCGAACAGAGAAGUUAAGCCCCUCAUGGCCGAUGGUACUGCAAUAUCAUGCGGGAGAGUAGGUAGCUGCCAUAC